CUGAAAGCAUCUAAGCGCGAAGCCCCCCUCAAGAUGAGAUUUCCCAUAUCUAUAAGAUAGUAAGACCCCUGAGAGAAGAUCAGGUAGAUAGGCUAGAAGUGGAAGUGCAGUGAUGUAUGGAGCGGACUAGUACUAAUCGGUCGAGGACUUAUCCA
RNAcentral lists this ribosomal RNA (155 nucleotides) under Aerococcus urinaehominis. RNAcentral describes it as "23S rRNA. Bacterial LSU". It matches the Rfam family "Bacterial large subunit ribosomal RNA", at positions 2771 to 2925 of the family's 2925-position model. The record is from RNAcentral. Lineage: Bacteria; Bacillati; Bacillota; Bacilli; Lactobacillales; Aerococcaceae.